AACCACGCCUUCGCUCACGGUGACUUACCCUGGAAUGAAACCUGCAGCUUUGGAGUUGCACUAGGCGUUGAGUUUGGGGCUUUAAAGCAUUCAGUGACCAGAAGCAUCCCCGGACGUGCUGGAAUUUUGGCCCCUGAUACUGUGAACCAUCUCUCCAACGAGAUGAGCCUGGUGCACCCUGUUUCUGUCUGCUGAGAGGCACUCACCAUCCCCGUUCCUGCUCACGGUGGUCUCGGUAACAUAAGAUCUGGAAGACAGUUGCCCAAGACCGUCUGAAAUUGUUGUCACUGAGGAUGAGGACGCUUUGGCUUCUGCUGCUGUUCAUCUACGAGGCCCGGAGCCACGCGGUGUCAACGCCCAACUUCGUCCUGCUGAUGGCCGACGACCUUGGCAUUGGCGAUCCUGGCUGCUAUGGAAACAAGACCCUCAGGACUCCCAACAUCGACCGCUUGGCCAGAGGGGGAGUGAAGCUCACGCAGCACCUGGCAGCGUCGCCCCUGUGCACACCCAGCAGGGCGGCCUUCAUGACGGGCCGGUAUCCCAUCCGCUCAGGAAUGGCGUCUCGGUCCCAAGUGGGAGUUUUCGUCUUCUCGGCCUCUUCCGGAGGACUUCCCCACAGUGAGAUUACGUUCGCCAAGCUCCUGAAGAAUCAAGGCUAUUCCACAGCUCUGAUAGGGAAGUGGCACCUUGGCACCAGCUGUCACAACAGAACGGACCUCUGUCACCACCCCUUGAGCCAUGGCUUCGACUAUUUCCACGGGCUGCCCAUGACCAACCUGCGGGACUGCAAGCCGGGCGAAGGCAGCGUGUUCACCAGGGCCUUAAGGCUGCUGGUCUUCGUCCCCCUGCAGGUCAUCGCCAUUACACUGCUGACCCUGGCCGUGCUCAUGUGUCUGGGGUUCGUCCAGGUGCCCCUCUGCGUCUUCUUCUGCCUCUUCUUCCUGGCCGCCCUGGUCCUCGGCGCCCUGCUGUGCUUCCUGCAUUACUUCCGGCCCCUGAACUGCUUCCUCAUGAGGAACCGUGACAUCACCCAGCAGCCCAUGUCCUAUGACAACCUCACGCAGAGGCUCACGGCGGACGCGGCCCAGUUCAUACAACGGAAUGCUAAGACCCCUUUCUUGCUUGUCCUGGCUUUCCUACACAUGCACACGGCUCUCUUCUCUUCGAAGGACUUUGCCGGCAAAAGUAAACACGGCGCUUAUGGAGAUGCUGCCGAGGAAAUGGACUGGAGCGUUGGGCAGAUCUUGGAUGUUCUAGAUGAGUUGAAACUGGCUAAUAACACCCUGGUCUACUUCUCCUCGGACCAAGGAGCACAUAUAGAAGAGGUGACUGUGAAAGGGGAAGGUCACGGAGGCAGUAACGGAAUCUAUAAAGGGGGAAAAGCCAACAACUGGGAAGGAGGCAUCCGGGUUCCAGGCAUCCUCCGAUGGCCGGGAGUGAUCCAGGCUGGGCUGGAGAUCGAUGAGCCAACAAGCAACAUGGACAUCUUCCCCACGGUGGCCAAACUUGCGGGGUCCCCUCUGCCGGAAGACAGGAUCAUCGAUGGACGUGACCUGAUGCCCCUGCUUCAAGGGAGAAGCCAUCGUUCGGAUCACGAGUUUCUCUUCCACUACUGCAACUUCUACCUGAACGCCGUGCGCUGGCACCCACAGAACAGAACUUAUGGGGACAGAAGACAGGGGCCCUAGACCCUAAGGACAAAGUGUGUGUCUUUCAUCUGUGCACUGAGAAUCAUCCAUCCCUCACUGGCUGAGUCCAAAACAGAUUGGAAAACAGAAAAGACCUGCCGCACUGUGGGUAAGCAGGAAAGUGGAGGUGAAAUAUGAGAGAGCCCAAGACCAUCCAAAGAAGAGCACGGCUGACCGCAUGGCACAGACGUGCGUGGAAAGCUGGCGUGAUGAGAGAGGAAGGCUGCAGCCUGGAGGACUCUAGGAAAUUCCCAAUACAGAGGAACAACUCCACUUCAAAGUGUCACGUGAAAAACUGCACCACUGUAAUAGGAGAAUCUUCCUUAAAAAAGUUGGCUCUGAGCUUGUCUGAAGCAGACACUGAACUCUGGACGCAGUGAUGAACUGCCUCUCCAACUAGACACACUUUUAGCAGACAUCGUGAAGGGAGUCAGGAGUCCAGAAUGUAUGUUCGGCAAUACCUUCAAGAAAGCAACGUUUCUCUUGAUGCACCUGCUCUGAUAAUUUGCGCAUCUGACUACACAAAUGCGCCUGCAACUGAUAGGAGGGUCCAGUUAUGCUGGAUUAAAGAUUCCAACGUAGUAGAGAGCCUGGAACCUUCCCAGAGUUUCUCCCGCUUUCAGAAGUCACAAAUUCAGAUUGACAAGAGCAUUUCUAAAAACUAGAGUUUUGGCAUUUGUCUAGCUUCAGGUAAAUGAUGGUGGUGGUCAUUACUGUGAGAGUUUGAAAGUCACAUCUCUUGCUCCAGAACGCACUUCAUGAAAGGACACUGGACUAUUGUAUACGCACUGCCGACACUUGUGUCUGGACACUUCUCUGUGGAGGGCCUCCCUGUGCAUUGCAAGAUGGUAAGCAGCACCCGACCUCCACCCGCUACAUGCCGUAGCGGCCCCCCUCCAGAUGAUACACCCAAAACGCCCCAGACGUUGUUGACUGGCCCAUCGUGGGCAACCCUGCCCCAGGUGAGAACGAACCCCUGUUUUGGAGAGA
This is an RNA transcript of Balaenoptera ricei (Rice's whale), 2678 nucleotides long. It is a transcript of the gene named steroid sulfatase, with no coding region annotated. NCBI's taxonomy places the organism in Eukaryota, Metazoa, Chordata, Mammalia, Artiodactyla, Balaenopteridae. The record is from RefSeq and is a predicted model, not a curated record. The transcript is spliced from 16 exons.